This is a non-coding RNA of Oryctolagus cuniculus (rabbit), 22996 nucleotides long. Lineage: Eukaryota; Metazoa; Chordata; Mammalia; Lagomorpha; Leporidae. The record is from RefSeq and is a predicted model, not a curated record.
UUAUAGACAGUGAGAGAGAGACAGAGAGAAAGGUCUUCCCUCCAUUGGUUCACUUCCCAAAUGGCCCCUACGGCUGGCGCUGCACCAACCCAAAGCCAGGAGCCAGGUGCUUCUUCCUGAUUUCCCAUGCAGGUACAGGAGCCCAAGCACUAGGGCCAUACUCCACUGCCCUCCCGGGCCACAGCAGAGAGCUGGACUAGAAGAGGAGCAACCAGGACUAGAACCCGGCACCCAUAUUGAUGACAGUGCACGCCGCAGGCGGAAGAUUAACCAAGCAGAGUGGACAGUGAGAGAGACAGAGACAGAGAGAAAGGUCUUCCUUUGCCUUUGGUUCACCCUCCAAUGGCCGCUGCGGCUGGUGCACCACGCUGAUCCGAAGGCAGGAGCCAGCACUCCUUCAAAUUUGUCAUGCCGGGCCUCACUCAUCUCACUGAAGUACCUGCCAUGAGACGAGGGCCUGAAAAGUGAAGCAAAACUUCCAGUUAUGGUCAGCAGAGGGCAGAAGAGGCAAGUAGCAAGUGUUUGCCGUCAAGAUUUAGGAUUCCUCCACUUGUCAGAAGCAAAAAACAGUUACUGGUACAAAACAGUGUAAUACAUAUUAGCAAAAUUGAUAUUUUGAGAAUUGAUUACUGUUUACAGCCCUUGUCUCUACUGUUCUGGAACAGUGGGCUUUUUUUUCUUAAUUUUUGUUGACUAUUUUACUUAGUGGAGGAUUAAUCUUAUGAUUAUAAAAUAAACUGAGUGUAUUGUAAAAAUUAACGAAUUAAGAAAGGAAGGAAGAGGGAAAUUAGGAGAGUGGGCAGGAGGAGGGGAGAAAGUAUCACUAUGUUCCUAAAUCUGUAUAUAUAAAUACAUGAAGUUUGUUCACCUAAUAUAAAUUAAAAAAAAAUUGUCAAAAAGAAAUCAGUUAUUGAAUGCAAGGGGCCAAAGUCGUAGAAUCAGUAGGAAAAAUUAACAGUGACCCAGCGUGGAAGUUCGGUCGACCAGGCAGUGGACACUGUUGUUAGAAGGGGCUACAGUUGCCAGCCUGGAAUCUGUUACAGAGAUGGGAACAAGUAGACAUCAGAAGAGUCAUCAUUUAGAGCCCUUUCUCAGUCCUGACGGCUACCCCCAGCCUAUCUAAAGCUGCUUAAAGUGACAGGCCUCUAAGAACAGCCCUGGGAGUAUAUGCAAACCAGCUGGCUAAGAGCUGGCCACAACCCUGAGGGGUCCAGAUGCAGCCCUGUGAGUAAGUGGGUGUGAAUGAACUCCAAAUCCAGAUGCAAAAGGUGGUGAGGCAUUUCUCAGGUAUAUGCCAAUUAAAUAAUUUUCAAAUGUACUUAAACGUGAUAUGGUUCAAUAUAUGAAAAUUUUCCCUUCUCUAUGGAGGAAAACAUAAUUUCAUUGUGGAAACACUGUGUGACUUUGGAAUUUAACAAACCUGAUUCUGAAUUCUUCAGUCUGUGGUUCUCAGUUGCUUAACUCUACUGAGCCCCAUUUUUCCAUCUGUAAAAAUGAAAGUAAUGAUUUCUGUCUCACAAAGUGAUGUUAAGGAAAUGAGAUGAUGUCCAUAAACUGUGUGGCAAAGAUCAUGGCACCUUAUGUGUAAUGGAUUUGAUUUACCACCACUUGUUCUCUCUCCCUUCUCUUUGGAAUGGAUAAACAUCUGUUUGCUAUUUUGCGAAGUAAAGUCUUCUUGUCUCCUAUAAGCAUACCUGAUGUUAAUGGAGGACUUACUAUGUAAGGUAUCAUACUAAGUUUCUGUAGUAUUAUCUCAUUUAAUAGUCAUGACAACCUUCUGAGAUACUUUGGCCAUCAUCUCUGCUUUGCCAAUGAAGACACUGAGGCUUCAAUAGAAUAAUUGAUUUUCCCGGUGUACCAUAGUAAAUAAUGAAAGGGGGUUCAAAACCACCUACAGUGAUUCUAAAGCUUGUGCUUUUGUCAUGACACAACCUACUUUUUGUAUAUAGACCUUUCUUUAUCAUCCAUUAAAAAUUCAAGGGAAAAGUAGACUUUAAAAAAUUUCAUCUUUGUAAUUUGCUUAAAUGUUGAUAUUAUUAGCAUUGCAUCACCUUAUACGAUCUCUUCUAUUGGAUGUUUAGGGUGGGAAGUUUAGUAUUAAAUGAAAUAAAUGAAAAUAGAUUGCUAUGGACUGAAUUGUGUCCCCUCCCCCCUCCUCCCCAAUAUAGAUUUCCUAUAUUGAAGCCCUCAUCCUUCUCUCUCUCUCUCUCUCUCUUUCUUUCUCUCUCUCUGUCUCUCUCUCUGUCUCUCUCUGUUAUAUAACGAUUCAGUGAGAAGACGGUGUGUACAAGCCAGAAAGACAACAUAUAACAGAAACCAAUCACACUGGCAUCCUGAUCUCAAAUUCCCAGCCUCUAGCUAUGUAAGAAACAAAUUUCUGUUGUUUAAGCCAUCUAAUCAAGGGUAUCUUUUAAUACAAACCAAGCUUACCAAGUUACAGACUGUCACGGUUAUACCCUUUCAGAGCUCCUGCAUUAAAUUUUUAUUGGAUUAUAUUUUUCUUUCCAUUUUUUAAAAAAUGAUUUGUUUAUUUAUUUGAAAGGUGGAGUUAUAGAGAGAGAGGAACAGAUAUUCCAUCCACUGGUUCACUCCCCAGAUGGCCACAAUGGCCAGGGAUUGACCAAGCCGAAGCCAGAAAGCCAGUAGCUUCAUUCAAGUCUCCCACCUGGGUUCAAGAGUCCAAAGACUUGGAAUAACUUACUUCUUUCCUAUGCACAUUAGCAGAGAGCUAGAUUGGAAGUGGAACAGCCAAGAUUCAAACCAACACCCACAUGAGAUUGCCAGCAUCGAAGGUGGCAGCUUAACCUACUGCACCACACUGCCAGUCCCUCCAACUUUUUAUGUUGUGGUAAAAUGCAUAUAAUGUAAAAUUUACCAUCAGAUAAUUUUUCAGUGCAGUCAGUGGUACUAAAUUCAUUCAUGAUAUUGUACAACCGUCUCUACCAUCCAUCUUUACAACUCUUUUCAUCUUGUGAAACAGAAACUUUGUGCCUAUUGAACACUAACUGCCUUAUACCUCUUCCCCCAGCUUCUGCCAACCACCAUUCUACCUUCUAUCUCUGUGAUUUGACUCCUCUCAGUACUUCAUAUAAGUGAAAUUUUACAGCUUUUGUCUUUUUGUGACUGACUCAGUUCACUUAAAUUAAUGUCCUCAAGUUUCAUCUAUCUUGUAGCAUUGUCAGAAUUUCCUUCCUUUUUAAGACAGUACUAUACCAUUGUAGAAACACCACAUUUUGUUUAUCCAUUAAUCCAUCAGUUGCCUCAUGGUUUACUUCCAUGUUUUACACAUUGUGAAUGUGUACAGGAAUAUAUAAGUAGGAACAGGAGUAUAUAAGUAUUUCUUCUAGACUGCAUUCAGUUACCUUGGUAAUAUACCCCGAAGUGUAAUGGCUGUAUCUUAUGAUAAUUUCUGUUUUUAAGUUUUUGGGAAAUCACCAUAGCGUCUUCCAGUUACUGUCUAUUCUUGCAGGAUAGAGUAUUUUAUAUACAUCUGAUAGAUCUAGUUAGUUUAUUUUGUUAAGUAUUCUGUUUUCUUAUUUUCUGUCAUUGAAUUCAUUAACAGUGGGAUUCUGAGGUCUCUGAUGAUUAUUAUAAACAUAUGUGCUUACUCCUUCACUUGUCAGUUUUUGCUUCAUGUAUUUUGAUGGUGUGUUUUUGGUUCAUAAAUGAUUAUAAUUGUUCAAUAUUCAUGGUGCAUUGAAACUUUUAGAUUUAUAAUACCUUCUUUUAUCUCUUGCUUUAUCUUGGACUAUCUUUUUUCAUGCUUUCAUUUUCAAUCUGUUUAUAUCUUUAGAUCUAAAGGUUCUGCUGGUACAGUUGUGGUCAAGACAGAAUCAGACUCCUGGGACUUUCUUCUCUUCCCAGAAUUCUCUCAAUAAUGGGAUUUCUGAAGAAAUUAAGGGUGACAUACAUGACUAAGGACAGUUCCUAGAUCUUUCUAACAAAAUGUUUUCUUCCUUUGCUUCAGUACAAGGGGAAGAUGAUAUCAGAACAUCACAUUUUUCUAAAUGGGUGCCGAAAAAAGUCACAAUCCUGGUUAUAAAGAAUCAUUGGGAAAAAAUUGAUUAAAAAAAGGGAUUUGGGCCAAGCAUUGUGAUGGAGCAGGUUAUAUCGCAUCUUGGAAUGUCUUCAUUCCAUAUCAGAGUGCUUGGUUUGAGUUCCAACUAGUCUGCCUCUAAUCCAGCUCCCUGCUAAUGUGCCUGGGGGGCAGCAAGUUAUGGCUGCGGUACUUGGACCCCUGCCACCCACAUGGGAGACCCAGAAAGGUUUCCAGGCUCCUGGCUUCAGAUUGGCCCAGUUCUGGUUGUUGUGGGCAUUUGGGGAAAUGAACCAGCAAAUGGAAGAUCUUUCUUUGUCUCUCUGUCUCUCCUACUCUCCCUGUCACUCUAUCUUUCAAAUACAUAAAUGAAGCUUUUUAAAGAAAGGGUUUUUUUUUUUUUAAAUAAAAGUGUGACUAUUUAAAUUUAUUUAUUUAUUGGAAAGGCAGAGACACAGAUGGAGAAAGAGGGAUCUUCUAUCCUCUGGUUCACUACUCAAAUGUGCAUAAUAGCAGUGGCUGGGGCAAACCAAAGUCAGAGCUAAGAAUUCAAUCCAGUUAUUGCCUCCUGCUGCUUCCCAGGGUGUGCAUUAGUAGGAAGCUGGACUCAGGAGCAGAACCCACACUCAAACCCAGGCACUCCAAAAAGGAAUCUGCCCCAUCUUAACACCAUGCAAAAUUCCCACUCCUAUGAAUUUUGUUUCUUAAAACAGAAUCUGGUCUAUAAAUAUUAAAAUAUUAAUAUUAGUAGAGGUCCAUGAUGAAUUUGCAAAAAGGAAGAGGCUGUACUUAGCCCACACCCUCUCUAGAUAGCACUGUCAUUCUGUUUAUUUACCAAACAAUAUGUAAAUGGACCAGCAUUAUUGUGCAGCAGGUUAAGUGACCAGCUGUAACAACACUAUCCUUUAUCGGAGUACUGGCUGCUCUGCUUCCAAACCUGCCCACUGCUAAUACAUCUGGGAAUGCAGCUGAUGAUGGCCCAAAUAGUUCUGCCCCUGUCACCCAAAUGGUAGACAAGGGUAGAGUUCCUGGAUCCUGGCUUCAGCUAGGGCCAGUCCAUUAUGGUCAUUUGGGGAAGUGAACCAGAGGAUAGAAGAUCUCUCAGUGUCACUCUGCAUUUCAAAUAAAUAGAUAAAUCUUCAAAUAAAAAAUAAUUUGAAAACAAUGAAAGACGAAUUUUGAUUAGAUCACAAAAUGAAGAUGACUGUUAACUCAAUAUCAGUGGAAUUAAAAAACAGGUCUAUUGCCAAGCAUAUAAGGGUACAUCUCUAUUUUAGGAUUGAGGAAUUCUAGCAUCCUAUAAAUUUGCGUAGUUCCUUGGGGCUUUUACUUCGCUAUAAAGACUGAUGACAUCAUCGCCCUCCUCUCUUCCUCCUGAAUCUCUUUUUCCUCUCUUCUAUUCUCCUCCCUUCCCUCCCCUCCUCUUUUUUUCCUCUUCUUUCUUCUACUGCCUCCUCAUUAUCCUCCUGCUUUUCAGAGACUAACUAUUGUAGGUAUUUAAAAAUUAAAUGAAAUAACCUGUAUAAAAUAUUUACAAGUGCUUGGCACAUGAUAGGUAGUCAGUAACUGUUGUAGGAGAAUGGAAAGUUUAUGGCUUUCAGGUAACCUCGUCAUUUGAUUUCAAGAAAGUAUAUAAUUUUGAUAUUUUCUUGAGCUCAAGAAAGAAUUGUUGAAAUAACUAUGUGCAGGUCAAUGUAUGUAUAUGAGUUUCCAGAAAGUAUGUAAAAUGCCUAUACACAUAAAUAUUACCAAUAGAAGAUUUAACAGCCUGUAAAAACAAGCAGAUGUGUGUUUGUCUUUCCAAUUGCACUUGUAAUUUUAGUUUGAUAACAUUUACAGUUGCUAUGAGACAAAUGAUUUUACUAAUCAUUAAUGUUUGAUAACACUCUCCAAAUAAACAUAGAGAAAAGAUGUUUAAAUUGGAAAGAAGCCACUUUACAUCAUGUGGCAUUUUUCAGUGUUCUCUAAUCUAUAAGUACAGAUUGUCCUUCAGGUGUGCUACCUGCAAAAUUAUCCAUAUUUCAUAAAUGCCACUGAAGAGUUUUAGCUUUAACUGUUCCAUAACACACUGAAGUCAGAGACAUUUCCAUAUGAAGCCUCUUGGAUCUCAUUUUAGCAGUAGUGUUUCCCUAAGUAGCCCUAAAUCAUAGGGAGUCCCAGAAUCCUGUACGCCAUCACUUCUCGACCUUUUGGCUAAGAUCAAGUGCAGAAUGCUGUACCCAGAUUCGUCAGCCUCUGUCAUAAGGCUUAUAGCUAUUUAAAUCUAAGAUCCAUCUGAGCAUUCAAUUUGUAAAUUAAAACAGGAAGUGUAUCAGACAUCUAAGGUGGAUUGGUCAAGAAUUGUCAAACAGCAGUUUCACUGCUGACACUGUUGGUCACCUUCUGACUCCCAGCAGACAAAUGGGAGGGUUGCUCAUCAUUUAUGCAUGAGACCUUCUGACCUUGUUUUGUUUUUUAAAUUGGGUUCAAUCUGUAGGCUAAAGUAUUUUUGUUUUGGCCAUCAUCUAUGGGAAAAUGGUAUGAACCAAUUUUUUUUACCUUAUAAAAAUAUAUAUUAAAUGACUUUCAAAACAGUUGCCAACCUAGCAUGUAAGAAUAAAGCAUUGAGUAUUGUGUAUAGCAAGACAUUCAUGUGAUAAGUGUAUGAAUUUACAACCAUAUAUAAUAUCUAUAUAUAUUUAUAUAAAAAACAAGCUUGGCUAGAAGUUAAGGUUACUUACAAAGUUGUCCUAGUAAUUAUAUUUGUCAAAGUAAUUAUAAAGUUAAAAUUUCAAAUGCAUUUUUAUUUAUUUAUUUUUAAAGACUUAUAUAUUUACUUGAAAGUCAGAGUUACACAGAGAAAGAAGGAGAGGCAGAGAGAGACAGAGAAGUUUCCCAUCCGCUGGUUCACUCCCCAGUUGGCCACAAUGGCCAGAGCUGUGCUCAUCUGAAGCCAGGAACCAGGAACUUCUUCUGGUUUCCCACGCAGGUGCAGGGACCCAAGGACUUGGGCCAUCUUCUGCUGCUUUCCCAGGCCAUAGCAGAGAAUUGGAUCAGAAGUGGUGCCCAUAUGGAAUGCUGGCACUGCAGGCUGCGGUCUUACCCUCUACACCACAGCUCCAGCCCGUCAUGUGCAUUUUUAAAUCAUGUAAGCUACUUACAAAAUCAGGUUCAUCAUCCAAAGUGUUCAAAUUAACUGUAAGAAAAUGCUGCAAUCAUAUAUAUCUUCUUAAUGUGAAAUCAGUGUUCCUAGAACAUUCAUUUAAAUUUUUCAGUAGCCUUACAAGUGAUGUAACUAAAAACUGAAACUUUUACAAUUUCAUAUCUACUAUUCUUAACAGAGAAUAGGUUACAGAAACCAAAUCUUCAGAAAGGAAAUUUGAAAAAACCUAUGCUAUAGAAUCUAGAAAAUCUUAUUACAAACUAAGAUUGAUAUGUAUUUUUAAAUCCCUCUACUCCAAAUUUCUGUAUUUUUGGUCUGUCUCUUGAAGAAAAUGUUAUAAAUAUAUCAUGUACUUUUUAAUCUUUGCUCAGUCCCUUCGAUUCUUUUAGAAGCAAAUAAGACAUGAAUAGUAAAUGAAUGAGCAGUUCUCUCAAAAAUCUUUAAAAUCAAAGAAGAUACCACUGAAUGUCCUAUGGAUGGCUGUGUAGUGGACAAAGUUGGUUAGGCAACACCGGUGUCGUGUGGUACUUUUUCUUCAGCUGUCCUUGAUGGACUUGGUAGUUACCUUCCAGUAAGCACCACAGCUCAGUACUGUAGUCUGGCUUUGGUAUGGGACACUUUUUCUUAAUCUGGGACAGAUAGAAAACUGUCAUUAAGUUUUUAAUUUCUUUUGGAAAAGGAAUCAUUUUAAUGUAAUCAUCUAAUAAGCUAUUGGCUCACUUUUUGACCUUUACUGAUUUGCAUUUAUCUAAUACUUCACCCACAGAGGUUUCCACAAUAUGUGCAAAUGGAUGCAAAUAGUGUGAACUAAUAAAGUAACUUCCUUUGUUUUUGAGCAGUGAUCUUUUUAUCAGGGCUCUGUGAGCUACUUAGAGUGUAGAGAUUCAGGGACCUUAGGAGGAUUGAAGGUGCAAGACUCUCAGGCCCCUCCCAUCAAGACUCAGGUAUUUAUUUUUUCAAGCUACUAGACUAUAUCUUCCUUCAACAAGUAUUGUUAAAUAGUGGACUUAAGUUUGAAAAAUUUCUAUUAUGUUCUAAAAUGUAUUACCUAAAAAUAGUAAAUAAUUUUACAAAUUAAAUUAAUUGUAUCAGUUACUACUAGGUUGCCUGAAUCGCUGUGUAGCCGAUUAUUAUAUUUGGUGUCUCUAGAGAGGUGACCAUCUUAAAUAAAGGUUUGAUUCAUGGAGUGUGGUUGAGUUUUCCACAACCCCUAUUGAAACUGGUAUGAGGAACAGGAAUGGGGCUCUGUACCCUAAAAUCACAAACCAAAACUUUUGUGUUCACAGGGAUCAUGCAACCGAUGCCUGCUGCUCUGAACAGAAAUGCACCUAGUGUCAUGCAUGUUUUUACACUUUGAGAGUUCAUCAUAGGCACUCAACACUCUUCUUUCCUCUCCUUCUCACUUCACUCCUGUAAAGUCUCACCCAUCACCAUAAAGUUGAGAAAAUUAAAUGUUACCAAGCUGUUAAUUUACUCAAUUGUAUGAUGGAGAUGAUGUCUUAAGGAAAAUAUUACCAAAGCUUACUGGGAAAACAGACAUGCUUGUACUAUUCUGUGCCUGUCUUCUUUUACUUGACAAAUUUAUCUAAAGGUUCUCAGGUUCUAUUGCUUAAUGACUUCUUGCAGGUGAAAGGAUGCAAUUUAUUUGAGAAUAUGCGGAAUCAUUGAUGAGAGGGUUAGAGGUCUUCCAUCCAUUGGCAAAUGGCCGCUACGGCCAGCGCACUGCGCCAAUCCAAAGCCAGGAACCAGGUACUUCCUCCUGGUCUCCCAUGAGGGUGCAGGGCCCAAGCACUUAGGCCAUCCUCCACUGCCUUCCUGGGCCACAGCAGAGAGCUGGAAUGGAAGAGGAGCAACCAGGAUAGAACCCGCCGCCCCAACCGGGACUAGAACCUGGGGUACCGGCACCACAGUUGGAGGAUUAGCCAAGUGAGCCGCGGUGCCGUCCAGCCACUUUUUUUUUAAUAAAAGGGAAAUGUGUAUACUGAGUUUAUACCCAUGACAUUGAUUAUAAAACUCUGAGACUGUAUAUGGCAUUAACAACAAUGCAAGGUACCUAGUGCAGUAGUCAGUUUUCCAUCAUCAUUAUUCUGCAAACCAGCAAUGAGUAAGAAGAUUUGGUGUCCAUGUGCAUAUAGAAUUUGGAGGCUAAGGUGAGAAGAGUCACUCUCCUGAAGAAGCAAGUCCUAAGAAGAUGUAGAAGUGAGCAGUGGUGGACCUGUUGCUGUUAGAAAGAAAAUAUGACGGUCUCUGCUGGAGCUUAUUGUUUUCAUGAGUUAAACAUAUAGUCACCAUGUGACUUAGCACUUCUACUCCUGGAUAUAGACCCAAGAAAAAAUGAAAACAUAAAUCCACAAGAAUCUUUGUGCACAAAUGUUCUUAUCAGCAUUAUUCAUAAUAGCCAAAAAGUACCAACAAACCAAAUUUUCCUCAGUUGAUAAAUUGACAAUCAAAAUAUGAUAUAGGUUAUGGAGAUCGAGUGACUGCUUAAUAAGUACUACAUUUGCUUUCGGGGUAAUGAAUAUAUUUUGGAGUGAGAUAGUGAAUGUACUCACUAUCACGAUGGUCACUUUUAUGUCAUAUGAAGUUUACCACAACUCUUUUGAGAGCUAAUAAGGGGUAAGUCUGUAUUUGACUAAGCUUUGAAACAUUUCCAGUUUGGAUAUUAAAUGCUUCAGGGAUAUAUAAGAAAUAAUAUUAAUCACCAGUAGUUUAACAGUAGAUUAAUUGAUUUUUGCCAGGAUCACAGGAAGAAUAAGUUUUCUAGGAGCUCCUUUAACAUAUUGCAAUUUAUUAUAUACCUGUACAGUAAAAUAAAAUACUGUGGGAUUUUUUUGUUUGUCUCCCUAAAAAGGUUGUUCUUUUCUUGGCUGAAAAAUGUUCAAUCCAAAUGCCAGUCCAGUGUCAUUUAAUCCAAAUAAUAUUUUUAGCAUAUGGAUAGCACAUCAAGCUAUAAAAGUACUCAAGUUUAAUUAUCCCUUUUUUAAUUAUGGAAACUGAAGCUUAUAGCAGUUAUUUGACUUUCCUGUCAUAACAUAGAUGGCACCACAUAGUUGGAAUCAAGUGUUUAAAUUCCAAAUCAGCUUUUCUUUCACUGUAAGUCAUACUUCCCGUCACGGUGAUAUGCUGUACCAGAGCAGAGUCCAAUCCCAGCUACAAUAGUGGCACCACAUCUCUCUGUCCUCAUCAGCAACAACUGGUUGCUGCUGUGUCUCUAUGCAACAACAGUCUUAACAUGGUAUCAUCAGUAUUUUAUGUUGUUUAAUUUUUUCUCUUAUUUUUCUAAUUGCACUUCUAUAGAGAUAAAGAAAAAAUGGCCCUCUUUCCUUUAAGGAUAUUUUGCUAAUACACAUAUAUUAAAACUUUAGGUUUUGAUUAAAGAAUGCAAACCUCUGUAAAGCAAUGUCCCCCAAUCCCUUCCUUGUUAUUUACACUUGCUCCAGCUACUGCUGUAGACAGUGUUCUUUCACUUACAUGCAUGUUUUCUUUCUUUAUAGAAUGUUCCAAUUCCUACUUUCACCUUUUCAUUCUCUCCAACCUGUGGCUUUGUAGCUAACAUUUUUCUUAAAACAUAUAUUAAAUUUCCACAAGCAGAGGUUACUCUUCAGAGUUAGUCUCAAGGUGGCUCCUGUCUCCUACCCUUGAGCUCAAGAAAGUUCCAGGCCCUGCAAUACAGACUGGAAUACUUUAAGGAGUGGAUAUGCUGCCCAAAUCUGAAAUCACAAAGCAACAGGUUAUUUUUCACAAUUCUCAAGGCCACAGUUGGCACUGUGUGAAAUCAAAGAACUUAAGAUACAUUUGUUUAGGAAAAUCCAGUUAAAAACUGUCAUGGCCAACUAUCAUGCCAUGUUGUACAGGUAGUCACAAUAAAGAAAAAUAAAGUGAAUUAUAAAGCAUUGGCUUUUAACUUUUUUUUAGUACCAUUUUAAAGCCUGUAGAUGUCCACUUUAGCAUUUUUCUCCUUUAAGCAUUAUUUAUCAGAGGAUACAGAUCUCAUUAUGGAUUUAUGUGAUGUUAUAAACCCACAUGUACAGUACAUAUUCUAGAUUACAUAUUGUCUUAUUUUUUUUUUAAAAAAAAGUCUUUCUUACUUCAAUUAGUCUAAUAGAUAUCAUUGCAUGAUCCUGUUCUUCCCUUUCAAGUUAUUUUCUGCAGAUUGUCUUCCUAUUGUUUUGGAAUACUCUAUCAAUAUGAGGGGUAAUAGCUACUUUAGAUCCCUUAGUUGGGAAUGGAACUUAAACUUCUAAAAUUUCAAUCUUCAAUUUUAGAUUCUUGGUCUCAUUAAAUUUGCAAAAUGAAAAAUCUAAGUGCAAUUCCUGACAGAGAAAUUGUUCCUUAUAUAAUUGUGUUUUUAAAAUUUUUUUAUUUUUUUGACAGGCAGAGUUAGACAGGGAGAGAGAGAGAGAGAGAGAGAGAGAGAGAGGUCUUCCUUUCUGUUGGGUCACCCCCAAAUGGCCGCAAUAGCCAGAGUGCUGCGGCCAGUGCACUGCUCCGAUCUGAAGCCAGGAGCCAGGUGCUUCCUCCUGGUUUCCCAUGCGGGUACAGGACCCAAGCACUUGGGCCAACCUGCACUGCACUUCCAGGCCACAGCAGAGAGCUGGACUGGAAGAGGAGUAACUGGGACAGAAUCCAGCGCCCCAACUGGGAUUAGAACCCAGGGUGCCAGCGCCACAGGUGGAGGAUUAGCCAAGUGAGCCGUGGUGCCGGCCCCCUAUAUAAUUGUUUUAAAAAACAAAAAUAGCUAUGAUAACUAGUUCCUACUCUGAUUUGACUAGAGUUGAAUGUAUGAAAUGCAAAGAAAUAAAGUCAAACAUAAAAGCACAACUCAGCAGGAGAGGGAGAGAGUCCAGCUCCUCCUUUUUGAGCUAUCUUCUCCAUUAUGGAAAGAGCCUCACGAUGUUGAGCCCUGUCUGAAUUUGCAUUCUUUCUGUUUCUGGCCUAAACUGCUAUAUUUUGAGUGUCACAACUCCUUUAUUAGAAAUAUAUACUUUCCUGAAAUUCUUUAUCCUGGCUUCGUAGUAUGUAAAGGAAUGAAAAUAAAUUAUAAUUCAGGGUUUGUAUACUCCAUUUGCUAUACUUUGUCAUUACUAAAAAGCAAACACUGCCUUUAGAACAUGGGUAAUAAUUUGAUAAUUAUUGCAUAAUUAUUUGCUUUAAAAUGUUAAAUUUAUGGCUGGCGCUGCAGCUCACUUGGCUAAUCCUCCGCCUGCGGCGCCGGUACCCCAGGUUCUAGUCCCUGUUGGGGCACCAGUUCUGUCCCGGUUGCUCCUUUUCCAGUCUAGCUCUCUGCUGUGGCCUGGGAAGGUAGUGGAGGAUGGCCCAAGUGCUUGGGCCCUGCACCCACAUGGAGACUAGGAGGAAGCACCUGGCGCCAAGCAUGACAGCCAUUUGGGGGUGAACCAACGGAAGGAAGACCUUUCUCUCUGUCUCUCUCUCACUUUCUAACUCUGCCUGUCAAAAAAAUGUUAAAUUUUUAGCAGUUUUUAAAAUUUCCUGUUUACAAUCUAGAACUACAAUAGUAAGAAAUUCAGAUAUAAUGAAUGAUACUACCAACAAUUACUACCAAUGCCAGGAAUAAUUUUAAAUUAUUUUCUAGCUAGUUAAUUUUCAUUUAAAGCCAACUUUGAAUCCUAAGAUUCAUAUAUUUUCUUUUUUCUCUAUUUUUAAAAAUAUUUAUUUACUUAUCUGGAGGUCAGAGUCACAGAGAGAAGGAGAGAGAGAAAAAGAGAGAGAGAGAGAGAGAGGGAAUCCUCUGUCGGCUGGCACACUCCCCAGAAGGCUGCAAUGACCAGGUUAUGCCAGGCUGAAGCCAGGAGGCAGGAACUUCCUCUGAGUCUCCCAUGUGGGCUGAAUUUCUUGGGCCAUCUUCCUCUGCUUUCCUAGGUACAUCAGCAGGGAGCUAGAUCAGAAGUGGAGCAGCUGGGACUCUCAUUGGAGCACAUAUGGGAUGCUGGCCCUGUAGGCCAUGGCUUAACCUACUGUGCCACAAUGUCACCCCUAUAUUUUCAAAUUUAUAUACAAAAAUAUACACAUAAAGUGUGUUUUAUAAUAUACCACCCAUUAUCAGAGAGCUGAUUAUUAUUAUAUCAAAGACAUACAGACUUUUAGGAAUUGAAGGCAGCACAGAUAUAAUAUUAGUCUGUAUGUGAGUAUUUGCCUAUAUUCUCAUUCCAAGUUUCAUGUGAACUGAAAAUCAUAGCAUAAUAAAAUUUUAGUGCAACUUUAGAGUAUUAAUAAUAUUCAUUUUAUUGUAUAUAUAAUUUUAAUAAAAAAUUUCAAACUGCCUCCACUGGAUUGUUCUAUCUGGAUUUUCUAUUCUGAUUCCUUUUCUCCCAUGCCUAUUUACUUGAUUAUUAAUCAAGACUAAAUUUCAAUAUGAAUAAAUCUAAAGGAUAUUUUUGUUAUAAAUUUUUAAUAAAUAUUUAUUUAUAAGACAGGAGAGGAAAGACAGAAAGCAGACACAUAGACACACACAUAAAGAAAGUGACCAAAAAAAAAAAAGAGAGAGAGAGAGAGUGAACUCUCAUUAACUUGUUCAGUUUCCAAAUUGCCCACAAUUUCCUUUGCUGGGCUGGAACAGAGGCCAGGAGCCAGAAUGUAACCCAAGUCUCCCAUGUGAGUGAUAAGAAUUCAAUUACUUGAUCUGUCACUACUGCUUCCCAGGGCAAUUACUUGAGCCAUCACUACUGCUUUCCAGGGUCUGCAUUAUUAGGAAGCAAGUCAGGAUAUGUAGCUAGGAAGUAAAUUCAGAUUUUAUGGUAUGGGACAUGAGCAUCUAAAAUGCUAAGCUAAAUGUCUCCUCUGCUCCUUUUUAGAAAUUUUGACAUGAAGAACACCUAACUAGAUGCCAUUAUCACCUGGAUGCUGGUUCUAACAAUGUGAUAGCUGAUACCUGUAACUAAUUAGUAAUGAGGGAGACAAGAUUUGGAUGAAACCAUGGAUUUGGGGACAUUUGGGUACAUACCACUUUCAAAAAAUUUAUUUGAGAGACAGAGAGAUAAGAAGAGACAAAUAGAAAGAAAGAGAAAAAGAUAGCUUCCAUCUGCUGGUUCACUCCCCAGAUUCCAAAGCACCCUGGGGACUGAGUUCUGAAGCCACAAACUUCAUCCAGUUCUCCCAUGUGGGUGGUAGGAGCCUGGUUACCUUGCGCUAUCACUGCUGUCUCCCAUGUAUGUAUUGAAUCAGAAGCAGGAGCAUGUGGGUAUUCUAACUGUUGUCUUCAGUUGUAGGCUGACCACCCAUCCCAAUAUCACUUUACCCCAUUUUGCUUUUGAGUGAAUUUCUGGUCCUUUAUGUUUUGCUAGGGCUGGUCUAUGUUGUUAAAAUAUUUUUGUUGGAAGGAUGGGCAUAUUGGAAGAUGAGAUUGCACAGGGGUUAAUGUAAUGUCCACACAAUUGAGAAUUGUUAUUAAAGAGAGACAUUCAGAUUGUCAACAACUGAAGGAACCAAUUAUAUAGCAUAGCUCCUAUUAGAAGAUUCUCUAAAAAUAUAAAUAUUACUUGGUACUAUGACAUGACAUCCAAGAUUUGUAUUUAAAUUUUGUCUGAAUGAGUUAUAUAAUCAAAAUAUGUAAAAACUCAGGGCAAUGAGACUUUGACAAAUAAAUCAUUUAUGUACUGGUGAAAUUUAAUAAUACAUUUAAAGGAAAAUUGAACUGUGAACUGAGUAAAGCAGGCACCUCUGCAUUGAUUUCUAACCUUUAUGAUGUGCAUGGCCUGAAUAAGAAUUAAAUCUUGGAAGAGAAUGAGAGAUUAUAGCAGUGGGGUUGAGAACACUGAUUUAAAAUAAAUAAAAUUCAUUUUAUUUCAUAUGUGGGAUUUCCAGAUAAGAAAGCUUCUAUUUUAAUAAAAAGUUGCAGAUAGUUAACUAGCUAUUGGUGCCCACUUUAAGGGAUUCCAACAUUUUGUCCCCAACCCCUACCUUAAAAGAAAAGAUUUUUGUUAGAUGUUACUUCCCAUUUGCAAAAAAAUAGAGCAAAUUUAUCUCUGUUAUUUUGUGUGUAUGUGCACUUGUGUGUGUAUGUCUGAUCACCUCUAUACCUGGGACAAUGCAUAAUGGCAAGGCCAUGUGUUUUAAUCAAGAAUCAAGGGAAAAAUGGUGCCUUUCAACAAUAACUCCAUUUGAUUCAUAUUUUUGCUUUACUCACUCCUGGUAGACUCCACUAUAGUUUGGUAAUGUCUAUACAACUUAGAUUUGUUUGUUUCAAUGGACAUUUCCAAUAUUCCUCAGUGAUAAUUGUGAUCAGGGUGACAGCUUUCUGGAUCUGGCCUAUUCUCCAAGUUAGAGUCCUUGUCCCUUUUCUCCUUAGAAUGAUGUUUGUCUGAAUGGAAGCCAGUGGGCUGACUUCAUCCUGCUCUCCUUUUGUUCUGGCUUGUUGAGCUUAUGUUGUCUUCCAAGUUUUGUCUCAUAGUUGUGGUGGAUGGGUGUGAUCUCUGGACAACAAGUUUAUGUGGGCAGGGACUUGUACAGACAAAGCUCUGUAUUUUCCAGAGUUUGGAUAUGGACAAAGACAGAACUCCCUAGAUUAGACUUUUCUUCUCAGUGCAGAAGCAUAAACAUGAUUUCUUAUUCUAUGGAUUAUUGAGAAAAUGACGGACUGACUGCAUUGUAGUUCCAGAGCUCGAUGGUCAAUCAAAAGGGACAUAGCAAGGAUCUGGGCAGACUGCUGGAGACCAGGAGAGAGACAGAGGUUACUUGAUCAGUCCUGUUAACUGACAAAUGGUAGCCACCUCAGUGAUAGAAUAGUGUUUACGCCGGCGCCACGGCUCAAUAGGCUAAUCCUCCACCUUGCGGCGCCGGCACACCGGGUUCUAGUCCCAGUCAGGGCACCGGAUUCUGUCCCGGUUGCCCCUCUUCCAGGCCAGCUCUCUGUUCUGGCCAGGGAGUGCAGUGGAGGAUGGCCCAAGUGCUUGGGCCCUGCACCCGAAUGGGAGACCAGGAGAAGCACCUGGCUCCUGCCUUCGGAUCAGCGCGAUGCGCCAGCAGCAGCGCGCCGGCCGCCGUGGCCAUUGGAGGGUGAACCAACGGCAAAGGAAGACCUGUCUCUCUGUCUCUCUCACUGUCCACUCUGCCUGUCAAAAAUUAAAAAAUAAAAAAUAAAAAAAGAAUAGUGUUUACAUUAGGUCUAUUUCUUUUUUUAAGAAAUACAGAGAUAAUAAGGAAACACAUACCUCCAGUGUCUAUCAUUAAAAAUUUGUUUUGAUGCCUAGUUCUUUUUAUCUUAAGGGCUCAGAGAGGAUUUAUCAGCUGUGGAUCAGUUCUGGCAAGGAAGAAACUCCCUACCCACUCACUGGUGUCAGGGAAAAGCUAAAAUGAGAUUGAUUAGAUUCAAAAUUGUAACUAUAAAUCUCAAAGUCCUGAUGGUUUAUUCUUAAACUUGAGUACCUCACACAUAAAGAUCUCAUGCAAUCAGCAUUAUACAUUACAAAACUAAUUACCAAGCACUUUCUCUAUCCCAGGUGCCUGGUAAUAGAUCUUCAUUGAAUAACUUUAUCUUGGAAAGAACAAUUUUAAAUUUUCCUCUCUGCUUUUCCACCUGGCUAACAGAGCUUUUUUGGAAAAUUUAUUAUUGUUGGCUAUGAAAUUAAAAUGAAGUACAAUUUUUUUUACCUUUAUACAUUUUUUGGGGGGUAGACUCUUGAAGACCUCUGUUCCAUUUCCUAGCUUCCAGGUGGCCUGUAUUUUUGUAAGGAUUUUCUGAUAUCCAGUCAUACUUUUGAAUCCACCUACAAAUAUUUAUUUAACACCUACUGUUACCGGAGAAAUUGCAGGGUUCUUGUCUUUGCGCAAGAAAGAAUUCAGGCGUGAGACAGAGUAUUGGGAGGUAAAAUAGCAAGGUUUAUUAGGGAAGUGAUAUCCGAAAGGAUGGAUGGGCACCUCUCCAGACAGGACCUGGGAGGGUGCCCAGUUGCUUGGAUUGGGGGGGGUGGGAACGAGGUUACAUGGUUGGGUGGAGAGAUGACACCUGGCCAGACCAGGUGGGUGACUCAGCAUAGAGGCAGAGGGUGAGCUCGCGGUCCAGUUGAGGCGCGGAUGUGUGUGUGUGUGUGUGUGUGUGUGUGUUAAGGAGAUGGGUCUUGCUUCCCCACCUCUGCUCCUCUUGGAACAAAGGGCUUUUUGGAUGUAAAUAGAAAAACUUCUAUCUGAGUUUUCCCCUGAAGGUAUCAGACAGGAGGAAGCCUAGCUUGCGCCAUCCGCCAUCCUGAGUUUAGAGGAAGGGUGAGCAAGACCCCUGGAGAAUGGGGAUCCGGAGCAGGGUGUUUGAAGUGCAGAUUCUGGGCUGCAUCUGGGAGAUUGUGGAAGAUUUGUCAGGCAGAAGGGGCAGGGACCUCCACCUGCCAGGUUUUCAGGUAGAAAGGGGCAGGGCAGGAUGCAAAUACCUGGCUGCCCCUGAAACAUUGUCAGGAUGACUUUGAGAUGCAGAUGCAUAUGCUGGACGUAGAAGUCUUCUCCAGAGGCCUUUGUCAUACACACAUAAGCUCAUACCUAACUUCCUGCCUAACACUACUGUAUGCCCAGAAUUUUUUUUCAGUAUCAGAAAGAAAAUUUUAUAAUCACAUUCAAUCCUAAAGCCUGUUCUGGAUGACUAAUCUGUAAAUUUCAACCAUAUCUUAGGUUGAGUUUCCCAGUAUUUGAUCUUGAGGUUAUUAAUAAUACAUUAUGCCUCUCCUAAAAUAGUUGUUGAAAGAAUUUAGCUAGAGGAAGCAUUUUAUGGAUGUGCAAAUUUGCUCAAUGUAUCUCGCAGAAACAGAAUGAUUAAAAGGAGAGGAUGGACAGUAUUUGUCACAGACUUGCCAGUAUAAUGAUAAUGAUAAUUUCUGCCAGAAUCAUAGAGAAUUCCCUCUUAUAUGCAUUAUAUUCUUUUUAUUAUUUCUACAACCUUGUAAGGCCAUCACCAUGUAAUUUAGGAUGUUUUAACAUUAUCUGAAAAUCCUAAAACACCAGUUUCAUUCCAUGGAAUGUACAUUGCCAGUCUUAGAAAACAGAUGUCACUAAGUAUCAUCUGAAGACAAAAUCCACCUAUCCAUUUUGUGUGUUCACUUAAUGUUAACAUCUUUGUGAAAGUCAGUCAAUAAUAAAGUAAAUAUAAAAAAUUAAAUACUGGAAAUACAUUUAUUUUAAUGCAUUCUGUUAAUCUAGAUAAAACAUUGUCUGGAGGAUAACUUGGACCUAGAACAGCUUCACACCUCAUGGCUUGUUUUAAGGAAACCUAAGAACAUGUCACUCACAGUGGCCCCUUAGUGGCCAUUCUGAAUGUGUAUUUUAACAGAUUCUCAAUUCUCAAUUGUGGAUUAACUUCCAAUUAUCCUGAUGACUUGGCUUUAUUGUAUUGCUGUGAUAGAAGCUGCUUUUCCUGUAAAAGAGAAGUUACUAUAAUUUUGUUGUGAACAGAGUUAUGUAUGACUGAUGAAAAGAAAAAGCAAGAACUUACCAACUUUCAUUCAGUGAUAAAUGAGAACUGGAAAAUUUACUCUGUUGUUAAAAACCACAGUCUCUUCAAUAGCAAAUAAUCUUUUACAAGGUUUAUCUAUUUGAGAGGGGGAGAAUGGAGGGAGACAGAGACAGAGAGAGAGGGAAAGAGAAAUCUCAUCUGCUGAUUCACUCACUAAAGACCCAGGACAGCCAGAUGUGGGAUGCGGCAGAAGCCAGGAAAUUAGUCUAGAUCACCACAUGAGUGGCAGGAACGUAAUUACUUAAGUCAUCAGCACUGCCUACCAAAGUCUGUACUAGCAGAAAGCUGGAGUCAGGAACCAUGGCCGAAGGUGGAAUCCAAGUAGUCCAGUGUGGGACAUGAGUAUCUUCACUGGCAUCUCAACUUCUAUGCUAAAUGCCCAACCACAGCACAAGAUCUUUGAGAAUUCCUUGAAGAGGAAGCAAUUUAAAGCAUGAAAGAGAAAAACAAAUGACUGCUGGCAACUCCUGAUGAGUACAAGUGUGGUUUUUACACUCUGAAAACAGUGUUUUGUACAUUGCCCCUAUGUUUCCAACAUGCAGGAUCCUCCCAUCUGCUAGCUAGCAGUCAUGGACUCCUGAGAGGGCAGCAGUGGGAGGAAAGUGUAUUAGCAAACAAUGGUCUCGCUGCUCCUAAGGGACCAUUGCUAUGGCACUGACAAAAGGAAGUGAAGUCUCUCUUUAUUAAAAAAUGUUAUAUGUGAGAAAUUUCUAUUCAUUGUGAUUCUUGACACAUAUACUACAAUUAUUUAAAGAAUGCUUAGUAUGGAUGUUUAUGGAUAUACUUCCCUUUAUCCUUAGCAGUGUAUGUAAUAGGGAGGGUCAGUGUUUAAGAUGACAAAUAAAAGACUAGAAGGGUCAAGUGAUUUGCAUAAGAUGUAAAAAUCAAGUAGAUUUCAGGUCAGAAACUAAUAGACCUUAAAUAUUUCAGUUGAAAACACAGUCACCAUUGUGCAAUGAACUAAUUAUUGAUCUAUGCAUUCCAAGGAAAGCAAUAGGUUUCAAAUUUUUUCUCAUCAGUUUUUUUUAAAAUAUGUAUUUCUUUAUUUGAAAGAGCUAAAGAGAGAGAGAGAGGAGGGGAGAGAGAGAGAGAUCUUCCAUAAGCUGGCUCAUUCCCCAGAUGGCCUCAAUGGCCAGGGCUGAGACAGGCCAAGGAGCUUCAUCAUGUUUUUUCAAAUGGGUGCAGAAGCCCAAACACUUGAGCCAUCUUCUGCUGCUUUUUCCAGACCAUUAGCAGGUAGCUGGAUCACAAGUAGAGCAGCCAGGACAUGAACUGACGUUCAUUUGGGAGGCUGGCAUCAGAGGUGGAGGCUUUACCCACUAUGCCAUCAUGCCGACCCCUCUCUCUAGUUUUUGAAAACUCUUUAGGCACCUGCAGUGCCUUCUUUAUGCAGUGUUUCUUUAUGCAGUGCCUUCUUUAUCUCAGUGUUUCCACAAAGAGAGUGCACAUGAUGCUCACUUAUUAGAGGCAGCCUUCUUCCUUCCAGAAUCCCCAGGAGGACUUCAGCAGGCCACAGUGCAGUGCCCAUGCUGAUGACAAGGUAUGUUUGAUCAUACCCAUCACCAUAAGCUUGAUCCAUAUUGAUAUUUUUCUCUGCAUAAGGCAUGAACAUCCCUAGCUUCACUCCUUCCACAGGGACACAGGAAGUCCACUCUGAUAUGGUGUAGGUACCCUAAGUGGUGGCUCAACAUGCUGAACUACAGUGCCCACCCUUGUGUUUAUUUAAACUACAGUUGAACACGUUGACAUACAAUAGCCUCCUGUAUUGGACAAUGCAUACCUUCUCUUUUAAAAUGUUGGAGGUGUGAAUGCCAGAUGGUGACAUUGUUUUGUGACUGUAUGCUAUCUACAAGCUACCAAAGCAGGUAGAGGCUGGAGGUAGAAUCUGCUUUAGAAGGAGACUGAUGUCUCAGCUGCCUUAGGGAUGCUAUGAAACAAGCCUUGUGCUGAGUAGAACAUUAUGAUAUUCACUUGAAUGAAGAGUAGAUAGAAAUACUCAUGUUCAAGUUGAGGAAACUGACAUUCACAAAGUUUCAAAUUACUUGUCCAGUUAAGUAGCAGGAAUCAGCCCAUCCUGUCAUCUCUAACUCACCACCAUGAGCAUUGCCUCAAUGUGUGUGUACAAUGGUGAUGUCCUAGAUAUCCCAGAAAAGCCAGAUGGGAGGCAAUUCAAGGGUAUUUAAUGAAAUGUUGCCUAUUUGUCUAUCAGGCUAUGCUUUGAUUCCUCUGUUGACUUUUACAGCAUUUGAUGUCUAUACCUUACUCAAGAAAUUAUUAAGAGAAUGUAUUGCGAAAACAUGCGCCAGCGCUGCAGCUCACUAGACUAAUCCUCCACCUUGCGGCGCCAGCACAACAGGUUCUAGUCCUGGUCGGGCGCCAGAUUCUGUCCCGGUUGCCCCUCUUCCAGUCCAUCUCUCUGCUGUGGCCAGGGAGUGCAGUGGAGGAUGGUCCAAGCGCUUGGGCCUUGCACACCAUGGGAGACCAGGAUAAGUACCUGGCUCCUGCCUUCGGAUCAGCGCGGUGCGCUGGCCGCGGUGCGCUGGCCGCAGUGCGUUGACCGCAGCGCACCAGCCGCGGCGGCCAAUGGAGAGUGAACCAAUGGCAAAGGAAGACCUUUCUCUCUGUCUCUCUCUCUCACUGUCCACUCUGCCUGUCAAAAAAGAAAAAAAAGAAAGAAAACAUGCAAGCUGAAUGGUGGAAACAGUGAAUCCGGCUUCUCAUUACUGAUCACCUUUUCAGUGAAAAACACUUCUUCACCUCUUUUGUGGCAAGAACUGCUGGGUAGUUAAAAAUCUUCUGCAUAGCUUGGCAGGAUGUCAGAGGAUCAGCGUCACAUGGAUCAUGUCACACAAGCAGAGACACCAACUGGAAAAUGUAGAAUCAGGUCGUCCAUGGGGAUGCCUGAGGUUGCAGCACUUCAGAGUGAAGGAGCCACAGGACGUCUGAGAAGUAGGAUCAGACAGGUUGCGUCAGGAAGGACAGUUCCUUUUGAUGUGAAAUAUCUGUCAGCGAGUAGUCAUUCAAAAUGCUCGACAGGAAGUCUCAGAGUUGAGGAGACUUACUAUGAAUGUAGAUGAUGAUCAAACUCAAUUGAUUUGAAUAUCAUUUUUUAGUGUUUUUUGAGGGAGGUUGGAUUUAUAUCUAUUUUAGUUUUUUUAAAAAAAUCACUUAAAAUGUAGAGAGUAUAUACAUAAACAUAUAUACUAUUUUUUUCUUAAAAAUUGAAAUGUUAAGAUCACAGAGUGAGGGUUUCAAGAUAAUGAUUGUGAAGUGGUGAAAGAAAAGUAUAUUGCUGUUUACAUGACAUGGUUCAGUGAAGCAAUAUUUAUAAUUAAGUAUCAAGUGAUAUAGCACCCAUACAGUUUUUAAACUCUCUCUAUAGACUAACUUCCAAAAAUAAGAGAAAGUAUACUUGCCUUUCUGGGUUUGGCUUAUUUCACUUAGUAUGUUAUGGUCUUCGGUUAUAUCUAUUCAUUUGCAAAUUUCAGGAUUUCAUUCUUGCUCAAAACUGAGUCAUAUUCUAUCAUAUGUCUAUAUAUUUAUAUAUGUAUAUAUAAAAUAUGUUCUUUUUCCAAUCAUCAGUUAAUGGGCAUCUGGGUUGAUUCCAUAUCUUAGCUAUUAUGGACUGAGCUGCUAUAAGCAUGGGAGUACAGGUAUGUUCUUGAUAUGCUGAGUUCAUUUCCUACAAAUACAUUCUCAGGAGUGUGAUGACUAGGUCAUGUGGAAGAAGUAUUUUUAGUUUUCUGAGGCAUCUCCAUACUGUUUUCCCUAACAGUUGUACCAAUCUCACUAUUUUUGCUUUUAUUGUCUGUGCUUCUUGGGUCUUAUCCAAGAAGCCUUUGCCAAGGACAAUUCUUGCAGCAUUUCUCCUAUGUUUUCCUCUGUUAAUUUGGUGGUUUCUGGUAUUAAAUUUAGAUCCUUGAUCCAUUGAGAGUUGAUUUUUGUGAAGGGUUUAAGGUAAGGGUCUUGUUUUCUGCAUAUGGAAAUCCAAUUUUCGCAACAACACUUGUUGAAGAGAUUGUAUUUUCUACAGGGAGUGAUUUUAGCUUGUUUGUCAAAGAUUAGUUGGUUGUAGAUGUGUGGAUUAAUUUCUGGGGUUUCUAUUCUGUUCCAUUAGUCCACAUGUCUAUUUUUGCACCAGUACCAGGCUGUUUUGAUUAUAACAGCCCCGUAGUAUGUCUUGAAAUAUGGUAUCAUGAUGCCUACAGCUUUGUUUUUAUUGGUUAAGAGUGCUUUUGGCUAUGUGUGGUCCCCUCUCUAUCCAUUUAAAUUUUAGUAUUGUUUUUUAUAAUUCUCUGAAGAAUUUCUUUGUAAUUUUGAUUGGGAUUACAUUGAAUGAGCUAAUAUGGACAUUUUUAUAUUAAUUCUU